GAUGAACGCUGGCGGCGUGCCUAAUACAUGCAAGUCGAGCGAACAGACGAGGAGCUUGCUCCUCUGACGUUAGCGGCGGACGGGUGAGUAACACGUGGAUAACCUACCUAUAAGACUGGGAUAACUUCGGGAAACCGGAGCUAAUACCGGAUAAUAUAUUGAACCGCAGGGUGCAAUAGUGAAAGACGGUUUUGCUGGCACUUAUAGAUGGAUCCGCGCCGCAUUAGCUAGUUGGUAAGGUAACGGCUUACCAAGGCAACGAUGCGUAGCCGACCUGAGAGGGUGGUCGCCCACACUGGAACUGGGCCGCGGUCCAUGGUCCUGCGGGACGCCGCAGUCGGGAAUCUUCCGCAGUGGGCGAAAGCUUGGCGGAGCGACGCCGCGUGAGUUAUGAAGGUCCUCGGAUCGUAAAACUCUGUUAUUAGGGAAGAACAGAUGUGUAAGUAACUGUGCACGUCUUGACGGUACCUAGUCAGAAAGCCCCGGCUAACUACGUG
RNAcentral lists this ribosomal RNA (497 nucleotides) under uncultured bacterium. Its description in RNAcentral is "partial 16S ribosomal RNA". It matches the Rfam family "Bacterial small subunit ribosomal RNA", at positions 28 to 507 of the family's 1533-position model. The record is from RNAcentral.